This 1346-nucleotide ribosomal RNA is filed under the name uncultured bacterium. RNAcentral describes it as "partial 16S ribosomal RNA". It matches the Rfam family "Bacterial small subunit ribosomal RNA", at positions 28 to 1381 of the family's 1533-position model. The record is from RNAcentral.
GACGAACGCUGGCGGCGUGCUUAACACAUGCAAGUCGAACGGAAAGGCCCUGCUUUUGUGGGGUGCUCGAGUGGCGAACGGGUGAGUAACACGUGAGUAACCUGCCCUUGACUUUGGGAUAACUUCAGGAAACUGGGGCUAAUACCGGAUAGGAGCUCCUGCUGCAUGGUGGGGGUUGGAAAGUUUCGGCGGUUGGGGAUGGACUCGCGGCUUAUCAGCUUGUUGGUGGGGUAGUGGCUUACCAAGGCUUUGACGGGUAGCCGGCCUGAGAGGGUGACCGGCCACAUUGGGACUGAGAUACGGCCCAGACUCCUACGGGAGGCAGCAGUGGGGAAUAUUGCACAAUGGGCGGAAGCCUGAUGCAGCGACGCCGCGUGCGGGAUGACGGCCUUCGGGUUGUAAACCGCUUUCGCCUGUGACGAAGCGUGAGUGACGGUAAUGGGUAAAGAAGCACCGGCUAACUACGUGCCAGCAGCCGCGGUGAUACGUAGGGUGCGAGCGUUGUCCGGAUUUAUUGGGCGUAAAGGGCUCGUAGGUGGUUGAUCGCGUCGGAAGUGUAAUCUCGGGGCUUAACCCUGAGCGUGCUUUCGAUACGGGUUGACUUGAGGAAGGUAGGGGAGAAUGGAAUUCCUGGUGGAGCGGUGGAAUGCGCAGAUAUCAGGAGGAACACCAGUGGCGAAGGCGGUUCUCUGGGCCUUUCCUGACGCUGAGGAGCGAAAGCGUGGGGAGCGAACAGGCUUAGAUACCCUGGUAGUCCACGCUGUAAACGGUGGGUACUAGGUGUGGGGUCCAUUCCACGGGUUCCGUGCCGUAGCUAACGCUUUAAGUACCCCGCCUGGGGAGUACGACCGCAAGGCUAAAACUCAAAGGAAUUGACGGGGCCCCGCACAAGCGGCGGAGCAUGCGGAUUAAUUCGAUGCAACGCGUAGAACCUUACCUGGGUUUGACAUGGAUCGGGAGUGCUCAGAGAUGGGUGUGCCUCUUUUGGGGUCGGUUCACAGGUGGUGCAUGGCUGUCGUCAGCUCGUGUCGUGAGAUGUUGGGUUAAGUCCCGCAACGAGCGCAACCCUUGUUCACUGUUGCCAGCACGUUAUGGUGGGGACUCAGUGGAGACCGCCGGGGUCAACUCGGAGGAAGGUGGGGAUGACGUCAAGUCAUCAUGCCCCUUAUGUCCAGGGCUUCACGCAUGCUACAAUGGCUGGUACAGAGAGUGGCGAGCCUGUGAGGGUGAGCGAAUCUCGGAAAGCCGGUCUCAGUUCGGAUUGGGGUCUGCAACUCGACCUCAUGAAGUCGGAGUCGCUAGUAAUCGCAGAUCAGCAACGCUGCGGUGAAUACGUUCCCGGGGCU